RNAcentral lists this ribosomal RNA (257 nucleotides) under uncultured Neisseria sp. RNAcentral describes it as "partial 16S ribosomal RNA". It matches the Rfam family "Bacterial small subunit ribosomal RNA", at positions 96 to 355 of the family's 1533-position model. The record is from RNAcentral. Lineage: Bacteria; Pseudomonadati; Pseudomonadota; Betaproteobacteria; Neisseriales; Neisseriaceae.
UGGCGAACGGGUGAGUAACAUAUCGGAACGUACCGGGUANCGGGGGAUAACUGAUCGAAAGAUCAGCUAAUACCGCAUACGUCUUGAGAGGGAAAGCAGGGGACCUUCGGGCCUUGCGCUAUCCGAGCGGCCGAUAUCUGAUUAGCUGGUUGGCGGGGUAAAGGCCCACCAAGGCGACGAUCAGUAGCGGGUCUGAGAGGAUGAUCCGCCACACUGGGACUGAGACACGGCCCAGACUCCUACGGGAGGCAGCAGCC